Hypanus sabinus (Atlantic stingray) is the source of this 798-nucleotide long non-coding RNA. RefSeq lists it as uncharacterized. Lineage: Eukaryota; Metazoa; Chordata; Chondrichthyes; Myliobatiformes; Dasyatidae. The record is from RefSeq and is a predicted model, not a curated record. The transcript has 4 exons.
AAUCCCAGACGGAGAAACGGCUAAGUUUUACGGCGUCACCCAUCAGUUUAGCGUAAAAAAAAUGAAUCAAAUUUUUCAAAUGGUUGUGAGUUUCAGCAGGAGUGCGCCCAUUGUUUACACUGCAGACGGCUGGGUGACGGUGGGUUCGGAAGGAACACGGAGUGGCACGAAGUGUAAUGACGCUAAAUAAAGGAAGCCGAGACCCGAGUGCGCAGAAUGGAUUCAGUAAACGGGAUGUUUGUGUUGUGGGCUUGACUGUAAAAUAAAUCCAAACUGAACUGGUGUUCAAGAUGCUAGGAGGGCCUGGAUCGAGUGGAGAGUCAGAGACAUUUUCCCAGGGCGGAAAUGGCGAACACGAGAGGUGCAAUUUUAAGGCGAUUGGAGAAAAGUAAAAGGUGAUAUCACAGAGGGCGGACGGGAUUCUGCUGAAGACAAUAACCUGGAGUUACACCCAGACUUAGGCUCUUUGUGGUUGUGGGGCUCGCUCCCCAAAAAAUCUCUCUCCCUCCCUCCCGAUAUUCGUGUUGCCUCAGAGAGAGCCUGUGGUUUGUUGAAUUGUUGAGGUGAGCGAUUAGGAGUCCUUACUGUGCUGCUGUUUGUGCGUGGGAGAGGGGAGUGGGGGCUUUGGGGUUCCAAUGUUUUAACAUUUUUUGUCUGUGAAGAACAAGAAUUUCAGGAGGUGUAUUGUAUACAUUUCUCUGAUAUUAAAUGGAGCUAUUGAAAAAUAAAUCUAAGCGCACUGCCGCAAUUUUAUUUUGGACAGUGUUUUCAGAUCUUUUUUCUCCUACGGGCCAAUAG